GACGAACGCUGGCGGCGUGCCUAAUACAUGCAAGUUGAGCGCUGAAGGUUGGUACUUGUACCAACUGGAUGAGCAGCGAACGGGUGAGUAACGCGUGGGGAAUCUGCCUUUGAGCGGGGGACAACAUUUGGAAACGAAUGCUAAUACCGCAUAAAAACUUUAAACACAAGUUUUAAGUUUGAAAGAUGCAAUUGCAUCACUCAAAGAUGAUCCCGCGUUGUAUUAGCUAGUUGGUGAGGUAAAGGCUCACCAAGGCGAUGAUACAUAGCCGACCUGAGAGGGUGAUCGGCCAAAUUGGGACUGAGACACGGCCCAAACUCCUACGGGAGGCAGCAGGAGGGAAUCUUCGGCAAUGGACGAAAGUCUGACCGAGCAACGCCGCGUGAGUGAAGAAGGUUUUCGGAUCGUAAAACUCUGUUGGUAGAGAAGAACGUUGGUGAGAGUGGAAAGCUCAUCAAGUGACGGUAACUACCCAGAAAGGGACGGCUAACUACGUG
This 497-nucleotide ribosomal RNA is filed under the name uncultured bacterium. RNAcentral describes it as "partial 16S ribosomal RNA". It matches the Rfam family "Bacterial small subunit ribosomal RNA", at positions 28 to 507 of the family's 1533-position model. The record is from RNAcentral.